GGUUAAGCGACUAAGCGUACACGGUGGAUGCCCUGGCAGUCAGAGGCGAUGAAGGACGUGCUAAUCUGCGAUAAGCGUCGGUAAGGUGAUAUGAACCGUUAUAACCGGCGAUUUCCGAAUGGGGAAACCCAGUGUGAUUCGUCACACUAUCAUUAACUGAAUCCAUAGGUUAAUGAGGCGAACCGGGGGAACUGAAACAUCUAAGUACCCCGAGGAAAAGAAAUCAACCGAGAUUCCCCCAGUAGCGGCGAGCGAACGGGGAGCAGCCCAGAGCCUGAAUCAGUGUGUGUGUUAGUGGAAGCGUCUGGAAAGGCGCGCGAUACAGGGUGACAGCCCCGUACACAAAAAUGCACAUGCUGUGAGCUCGAUGAGUAGGGCGGGACACGUGGUAUCCUGUCUGAAUAUGGGGGGACCAUCCUCCAAGGCUAAAUACUCCUGACUGACCGAUAGUGAACCAGUACCGUGAGGGAAAGGCGAAAAGAACCCCGGCGAGGGGAGUGAAAAAGAACCUGAAACCGUGUACGUACAAGCAGUGGGAGCCUCUUUAUGGGGUGACUGCGUACCUUUUGUAUAAUGGGUCAGCGACUUAUAUUCUGUAGCAAGGUUAACCGAAUAGGGGAGCCGAAGGGAAACCGAGUCUUAACUGGGCGUUAAGUUGCAGGGUAUAGACCCGAAACCCGGUGAUCUAGCCAUGGGCAGGUUGAAGGUUGGGUAACACUAACUGGAGGACCGAACCGACUAAUGUUGAAAAAUUAGCGGAUGACUUGUGGCUGGGGGUGAAAGGCCAAUCAAACCGGGAGAUAGCUGGUUCUCCCCGAAAGCUAUUUAGGUAGCGCCUCGUGAAUUCAUCUCCGGGGGUAGAGCACUGUUUCGGCAAGGGGGUCAUCCCGACUUACCAACCCGAUGCAAACUGCGAAUACCGGAGAAUGUUAUCACGGGAGACACACGGCGGGUGCUAACGUCCGUCGUGAAGAGGGAAAUAACCCAGACCGCCAGCUAAGGUCCCAAAGUCAUGGUUAAGUGGGAAACGAUGUGGGAAGGCCCAGACAGCCAGGAUGUUGGCUUAGAAGCAGCCAUCAUUUAAAGAAAGCGUAAUAGCUCACUGGUCGAGUCGGCCUGCGCGGAAGAUGUAACGGGGCUAAACCAUGCACCGAAGCUGCGGCAGCGACGCUUAUGCGUUGUUGGGUAGGGGAGCGUUCUGUAAGCCUGCGAAGGUGUACUGUGAGGUAUGCUGGAGGUAUCAGAAGUGCGAAUGCUGACAUAAGUAACGAUAAAGCGGGUGAAAAGCCCGCUCGCCGGAAGACCAAGGGUUCCUGUCCAACGUUAAUCGGGGCAGGGUGAGUCGACCCCUAAGGCGAGGCCGAAAGGCGUAGUCGAUGGGAAACAGGUUAAUAUUCCUGUACUUGGUGUUACUGCGAAGGGGGGACGGAGAAGGCUAUGUUGGCCGGGCGACGGUUGUCCCGGUUUAAGCGUGUAGGCUGGUUUUCCAGGCAAAUCCGGAAAAUCAAGGCUGAGGCGUGAUGACGAGGCACUACGGUGCUGAAGCAACAAAUGCCCUGCUUCCAGGAAAAGCCUCUAAGCAUCAGGUAACAUCAAAUCGUACCCCAAACCGACACAGGUGGUCAGGUAGAGAAUACCAAGGCGCUUGAGAGAACUCGGGUGAAGGAACUAGGCAAAAUGGUGCCGUAACUUCGGGAGAAGGCACGCUGAUACGUAGGUGAAGCGACUUGCUCGUGGAGCUGAAAUCAGUCGAAGAUACCAGCUGGCUGCAACUGUUUAUUAAAAACACAGCACUGUGCAAACACGAAAGUGGACGUAUACGGUGUGACGCCUGCCCGGUGCCGGAAGGUUAAUUGAUGGGGUUAGCGGUAACGCGAAGCUCUUGAUCGAAGCCCCGGUAAACGGCGGCCGUAACUAUAACGGUCCUAAGGUAGCGAAAUUCCUUGUCGGGUAAGUUCCGACCUGCACGAAUGGCGUAAUGAUGGCCAGGCUGUCUCCACCCGAGACUCAGUGAAAUUGAACUCGCUGUGAAGAUGCAGUGUACCCGCGGCAAGACGGAAAGACCCCGUGAACCUUUACUAUAGCUUGACACUGAACAUUGAGCCUUGAUGUGUAGGAUAGGUGGGAGGCUUUGAAGUGUGGACGCCAGUCUGCAUGGAGCCGACCUUGAAAUACCACCCUUUAAUGUUUGAUGUUCUAACGUUGGCCCCUAAUCGGGGUUGCGGACAGUGUCUGGUGGGUAGUUUGACUGGGGCGGUCUCCUCCUAAAGAGUAACGGAGGAGCACGAAGGUUGGCUAAUCCUGGUCGGACAUCAGGAGGUUAGUGCAAUGGCAUAAGCCAGCUUGACUGCGAGCGUGACGGCGCGAGCAGGUGCGAAAGCAGGUCAUAGUGAUCCGGUGGUUCUGAAUGGAAGGGCCAUCGCUCAACGGAUAAAAGGUACUCCGGGGAUAACAGGCUGAUACCGCCCAAGAGUUCAUAUCGACGGCGGUGUUUGGCACCUCGAUGUCGGCUCAUCACAUCCUGGGGCUGAAGUAGGUCCCAAGGGUAUGGCUGUUCGCCAUUUAAAGUGGUACGCGAGCUGGGUUUAGAACGUCGUGAGACAGUUCGGUCCCUAUCUGCCGUGGGCGCUGGAGAACUGAGGGGGGCUGCUCCUAGUACGAGAGGACCGGAGUGGACGCAUCACUGGUGUUCGGGUUGUCAUGCCAAUGGCACUGCCCGGUAGCUAAAUGCGGAAGAGAUAAGUGCUGAAAGCAUCUAAGCACGAAACUUGCCCCGAGAUGAGUUCUCCCUGACUCCCUGAGAGUCCUGAAGGAACGUUGAAGACGACGACGUUGAUAGGCCGGGUGUGUAAGCGCAGCGAUGCGUUGAGCUAACCGGUACUAAUGAACCGUGAGGCUUAACCUU
This 2905-nucleotide ribosomal RNA is filed under the name Escherichia coli. Its description in RNAcentral is "23S ribosomal RNA". It matches the Rfam family "Bacterial large subunit ribosomal RNA". Lineage: Bacteria; Pseudomonadati; Pseudomonadota; Gammaproteobacteria; Enterobacterales; Enterobacteriaceae. The record is from RNAcentral.